CAGCAACGCCGCGUGAGGGAUGAAGUAUUUCGGUAUGUAAACCUCGAAAGAAUGGGAAGAAUAAAUGACGGUACCAUUUAUAAGCUCCGGCUAACUACGUGCCAGCAGCCGCGGUAAUACGUAGGGAGCAAGCGUUGUUCGGAUUUACUGGGCGUAAAGGGCGCGUAGGCGGCGCGGUGAGUCACUUGUGAAAUCUCUGAGCUUAACUCAGAACGGCCAAGUGAUACUGCUGUGCUAGAGGGCGGAAUAGGCAACGGGAAUUCUUGGUGUAGCGGUGAAAUGCGGAGAUAUCAAGAGGAACACCUGAGGCGAUGGGGGGUUGCUGGGCCGACACUGA
Molecule: ribosomal RNA, 337 nt
Filed under: uncultured bacterium
Lineage: Bacteria
Description: bacterial SSU rRNA
Rfam family: Bacterial small subunit ribosomal RNA
Source: RNAcentral